RNAcentral lists this small RNA (29 nucleotides) under Bombyx mori (domestic silkworm). RNAcentral describes it as "ovarian small RNA-28179". Lineage: Eukaryota; Metazoa; Arthropoda; Insecta; Lepidoptera; Bombycidae. The record is from RNAcentral.
UCGAAGAACUUGCCCACAUGCGACAGCAA